RNAcentral lists this ribosomal RNA (253 nucleotides) under Nannocystineae bacterium. Its description in RNAcentral is "partial 16S ribosomal RNA". It matches the Rfam family "Bacterial small subunit ribosomal RNA", at positions 524 to 776 of the family's 1533-position model. The record is from RNAcentral. Lineage: Bacteria; Pseudomonadati; Myxococcota; Myxococcia; Myxococcales. RNAcentral also lists the same sequence under 1 other name.
UACGAGGGGUGCAAGCGUUAUUCGGAAUCAUUGGGCGUAAAGGGUGCGUAGACGGCUUAUUAAGUCAACUGUUAAAUUCUCCGGCCUAACUGGAGGUCAGCGGUAGAAACUAAUAAGCUUGAGGUUGGAAGAGAGAAGUGGAAUUCUCGGAGUAGCGGUAAAAUGCGUAGAUCUCGAGAGGAACACCGAUGGCGAAGGCAGCUUCUUGGUCCAAAUCUGACGUUGAGGCACGAAAGCGUGGGGAGCAAACAGG